GCAAGAGUGACCCUGUACACAAACUAGCACCAAUUUAAAUUUGAAGAAUAAGGUGCUUACAAGAAUUCAGAGAGAAUAUUCCCAACCUUCUCUGGUUAGUCAAAUAUGUGUGGCCACAAAGGAAUCUCACAUGAUAUGGCAAACAGGAAUAAGGACCGAAUGAAUGGAAUUUACUGAGUGUAACAUAAUAAAUUGUAAUUGUACUCAUUCACAAUGAAUAAAACAAGUAUUUACUGGAAAAGAUAAACUCUAGUGGAUGCAAUGUUAAUUGUACAAUCAAAAUCCAAUAAUUGCAUCCUCAUCCAAACUAAUAGCAAACUUCAGCAUCUUACCUUCUGCGCCUUACAUCAUCUUUCCUCAUGAUGUUCAGGCAAUCAAAAUGCCAAUAAGCAACUUUAACUGGAAUCGACAUGGAC
RNAcentral lists this unclassified non-coding RNA (416 nucleotides) under Hevea brasiliensis (rubber tree). The record is from RNAcentral. Lineage: Eukaryota; Viridiplantae; Streptophyta; Magnoliopsida; Malpighiales; Euphorbiaceae.